CAGCAGCCACGGUAAUACAGAGGGUGCAAGCGUUAAUCGGAAUUACUGGGCGUAAAGCGCGCGUAGGUGGUUUGUUAAGUUGGAUGUGAAAGCCCCGGGCUCAACCUGGGAACUGCAUCCAAAACUGGCAAGCUAGAGUACGGUAGAGGGUGGUGGAAUUUCCUGUGUAGCGGUGAAAUGCGUAGAUAUAGGAAGGAACACCAGUGGCGAAGGCGACAACCUGGACUGAUACUGACACUGAGGUGCGAAAGCGUGGGGAGCAAACAGGAUUAGAUACCCCCGUAGUCCCUGUCUCUUAUAC
Molecule: ribosomal RNA, 301 nt
Filed under: uncultured bacterium
Lineage: Bacteria
Description: partial 16S ribosomal RNA
Rfam family: Bacterial small subunit ribosomal RNA
Source: RNAcentral